AGAGUUUGAUCCUGGCUCAGGACGAACGCUGGCGGCGCGCCUAACACAUGCAAGUCGAACGAGCGAGAGAGAGCUUGCUUUCUCAAGCGAGUGGCGAACGGGUGAGUAACGCGUGAGGAACCUGCCUCAAAGAGGGGGACAACAGUUGGAAACGACUGCUAAUACCGCAUAAGCCCACGGCUCGGCAUCGAGCAGAGGGAAAAGGAGCAAUCCGCUUUGAGAUGGCCUCGCGUCCGAUUAGCUAGUUGGUGAGGUAACGGCCCACCAAGGCGACGAUCGGUAGCCGGACUGAGAGGUUGACCGGCCACAUUGGGACUGAGGUACGGCCCAGACUCCUACGGGAGGCAGCA
RNAcentral lists this ribosomal RNA (350 nucleotides) under uncultured bacterium. RNAcentral's name for it is "bacterial SSU rRNA". It matches the Rfam family "Bacterial small subunit ribosomal RNA", at positions 8 to 353 of the family's 1533-position model. The record is from RNAcentral.